ACGCUGGCGGUAGGCCUAACACAUGCAAGUCGAACGGCAGCACAGUAAGAGCUUGCUCUUAUGGGUGGCGAGUGGCGGACGGGUGAGGAAUACAUCGGAAUCUACCUUUUCGUGGGGGAUAACGUAGGGAAACUUACGCUAAUACCGCAUACGACCUUCGGGUGAAAGCAGGGGACCUUCGGGCCUUGCGCGGAUAGAUGAGCCGAUGUCGGAUUAGCUAGUUGGCGGGGUAAAGGCCCACCAAGGCGACGAUCCGUAGCUGGUCUGAGAGGAUGAUCAGCCACACUGGAACUGAGACACGGUCCAGACUCCUACGGGAGGCAGCAGUGGGGAAUAUUGGACAAUGGGCGCAAGCCUGAUCCAGCCAUACCGCGUGGGUGAAGAAGGCCUUCGGGUUGUAAAGCCCUUUUGUUGGGAAAGAAAAGCAGUCGGCUAAUACCCGGUUGUUCUGACGGUACCCAAAGAAUAAGCACCGGCUAACUUCGUGCCAGCAGCCGCGGUAAUACGAAGGGUGCAAGCGUUACUCGGAAUUACUGGGCGUAAAGCGUGGCGUAGGUGGUUGUUUAAGUCUGUUGUGAAAGCCCUGGGCUCAACCUGGGAAUUGCAGUGGAUACUGGGCGACUAGAGUGUGGUAGAGGGGUAGUGGAAUUCCCGGUGUAGCAGUGAAAUGCGUAGAGAUCGGGAGGAACAUCCAUGGCGAAGGCAGCUACCUGGACCAACACUGACACUGAGGCACGAAAGCGUGGGGAGCAAACAGGAUUAGAUACCCUUGGUAGUCCACGCCCUAAACGAUGCGAACUGGAUGUUGGGUGCAAUUUGGCACGCAGUAUCGAAGCUAACGCGUUAAGUUCGCCGCCUGGGGAGUACGGUCGCAAGACUGAAACUCAAAGGAAUUGACGGGGGCCCGCACAAGCGGUGGAGUAUGUGGUUUAAUUCGAUGCAACGCGAAGAACCUUACCUGGUCUUGACAUAUGUCGAGAACUUUCCAGAGAUGGAUUGGUGCCUUCGGGAACUCGAACACAGGUGCUGCAUGGCUGUCGUCAGUCUCGUGUCGUGAGAUGUUGGGUUAAGUCCCGCAACGAGCGCAACCCUUGUCCU
RNAcentral lists this ribosomal RNA (1098 nucleotides) under Stenotrophomonas sp. RNAcentral describes it as "bacterial SSU rRNA". It matches the Rfam family "Bacterial small subunit ribosomal RNA", at positions 33 to 1111 of the family's 1533-position model. Lineage: Bacteria; Pseudomonadati; Pseudomonadota; Gammaproteobacteria; Lysobacterales; Lysobacteraceae. The record is from RNAcentral.